RNAcentral lists this ribosomal RNA (1002 nucleotides) under uncultured bacterium. RNAcentral's name for it is "bacterial SSU rRNA". It matches the Rfam family "Bacterial small subunit ribosomal RNA", at positions 509 to 1504 of the family's 1533-position model. The record is from RNAcentral.
CAGCCGCCGCGGUAAUACAGAGGGUGCAAACGUUGUUCGGAAUCACUGGGCAUAAAGCGCACGUAGGCGGUCAUGUAAGUGUGGAGUGAAAGCCCACGGCUCACCCGUGGAACUGCUUUGCAUACUGCAUGACUCGAGGACGGUAGGGGAGAGCGGAACUCUUGGAGGAGCGGUGAAAUGCGUAGAUAUCAAGAGGAACACCAAUGGCGAAGGCAGCUCUCUGGUCCGUUUCUGACGCUGAGGUGCGAAAGCUAGGGUAGCGAACGGGAUUAGAUACCCCGGUAGUCCUAGCCGUAAACGAUGAGCACUAGCUAGGGGCCCUCCUGUGGGGUCCCUGGCGAAGCAAAUGUGAUAAGUGCUCCGCCUGGGGAGUAUGGUCGCAAGGCUAAAACUCAAAGGAAUUGACGGGGGCUCACACAAGCGGUGGAGCAUGUGGUUUAAUUCGAAGCAACGCGAAGAACCUUACCCAGCCUUGACAUCCAGGGAUAACUCUUGUGAAAGCUUGAGGAUUGCCUUCGGGUGUAACCUGGACAGGUGUUGCAUGGCUGUCGUCAGCUCGUGUCGUGAGAUGUCGGGUUAAGUCCCUUAACGAGCGAAACCCCUAUUACUAGUUGCCAGCGGGUCAAGCCGGGGACUCUAGUGAGACUGCCGUUGUUAAAACGGAGGAAGGUGGGGACGACGUCAAGUCAUCAUGGCCCUUACGGCUGGGGCUACACACGUGCUACAAUGGUCGGGACAGAGGGCCGCUAGGCCGUGAGGUGGAGCAAAUCCCAAAAACCCGACCCCAGUUCGGAUUGCAGGCUGCAACUCGCCUGCAUGAAGUCGGAAUCGCUAGUAAUCGCGGAUCAGCUACGCCGCGGUGAAUAUGUUCCUGAGCCUUGUACACACCGCCCGUCAAGCCACGGAAGCCGAGAGCGCCCGAAGUCGUUUGCCUAACCGUAAGGAGGGCGGCGCCGAAGGCGAGCUUGGUGACUGGGACUAAGUCGUAACAAGGUAACCGUA